Molecule: ribosomal RNA, 492 nt
Filed under: uncultured bacterium
Lineage: Bacteria
Description: partial 16S ribosomal RNA
Rfam family: Bacterial small subunit ribosomal RNA
Source: RNAcentral
AGUGAACGCUGGCGGUAGGCCUAACACAUGCAAGUCGAACGGCAGCACAGUAAGAGCUUGCUCUUACGGGUGGCGAGUGGCGGACGGGUGAGGAAUACAUCGGAAUCUACUUUUUCGUGGGGGAUAACGUAGGGAAACUUACGCUAAUACCGCAUACGACCUACGGGUGAAAGCAGGGGAUCUUCGGACCUUGCGCGAUUGAAUGAGCCGAUGUCGGAUUAGCUAGUUGGCGGGGUAAAGGCCCACCAAGGCGACGAUCCGUAGCUGGUCUGAGAGGAUGAUCAGCCACGCUGGAACUGAGACACGGUCCAGACUCCUACGGGAGGCAGCAGUGGGGAAUAUUGGACAAUGGGCGCAAGCCUGAUCCAGCCACACCGCGUGGGUGAAGAAGGCCUUCGGGUUGUAAAGCCCUUUUGUUGGGAAAGAAAAGCAGCAGGUUAAUACCCCGCUGUUCUGACGGUACCCAAAGAAUAAGCACCGGCUAACUUCGUG